AUCCGUCCCUAUUGUCUCCACAGUAAAUUCAGCCGGAGAUUAUCCCCUUACUUUCAGUUCAAUAGAGUUCCACUUAUGUGCGGGACAACCUUAUUUGCCUCCCGCCACUUGGAGACCACACUAAUGUAAUUACAUUGAGGGAACAGUGGCCAAAUCACUACCCGGAUCCUACAGACCACUCUCCACCAGGAAGCUGUCUAGACGGUACCGGUGUCCCUCAAGAACACUUUGCCCUCACUAUUUGCAGUGCCAAAGUGGAAACACAUCACAGUCUGCCGUCCCAGCAAACCCUGCCAAGCCUUGUGGAAGUUCCACCAUCCCCUAAACCUAAAAAGGGUUAAAGUAGCCUCCAGAGCUCCUUGCUGCCGUGGUUUGGCUCCUUCCUGCCUUGCCAUGGAUGGCAUGACAGCGAUGACAGCCUGCUGAGUUUCUAACUUGGAGUGACCCUGCUGCGUGGCAUCGGGGAUCAAGCUGGAGUUGCAGCCAUGGACUGGGGUGGCCACCAUCACCCAUAACCAUGGUCACCUUUCAGAGGCAGCUGAAACCACCAGCAUUCACUGUGUGGGUAAUCGGGUACAGUGAACUUGUUGAUUGUCUGUCUGUCUCUGCAGUGCUUAUGAGCAAUAGCAAGUGGGAAUCUCAUCUUCAAAAGAUAAAAAUUCAGUUUUGUGUCGUGCCCUGUCCUUGUGGAUGGUGAAGCUGCUUUACAGCACUGGAGUGUCUGUCUUUGCGCUUGGUUGGAAGCCUUCUCAAAGAACUAAAUUUCGGAAUUUGAUCUCAGUGGGACCUACUUUAUACCCAUUUUAUUGUAACACGGCAGAGGCUGAAUGCCUAUCAAAUAGAGCUGAUGGGAUAACUUUUAAUUAAAUGUAUCUUUAGUUAUAUGUGGAUUUGGUUAGGUGUAGUUUGCAUUUUGAUUAAUGUCAUUGAAGUGAAAAUGCUCGACCGCAAGAUAGUGAUUUCAAUCUUUUUUUCCAAGAAAUAGCUUUCUGGAGCCGCUUCUGCCCCUGAGAAAGAGGGCCAGAGGGAACUGAAAAUAGGUAUUUAUGGUCCAGAUACAGCAUUUUCCCAGAAAUUAACUUUGCAAAAGCACUUCAAAAGUUUUUUGCACCACUUUCAAUAGGGAAUGCUGCACAGUUGUAAACCUCAGAAGCUGUCACAGGAUGGGUUUGGUGUCCUGUAGCUGCUGGUCUUGUCACGUCUGCUCACUUUAUGUAUCUGAGCAUGCUUGGAGGAAGGCAGAGGAGGGCUGACUUUCUUCUUCCUGUUCCUGCUUUUCUUCCAGUGAUUUCUGUUUCACCCUAUGGAUACAUCUUCCCUCCAGGCCACAACUGCCUUGUGUUUACAGAUUUCUUAUCCUUGUGGCCUGUCAAAAAUGGCAAAUCUCACAGCCAACAGUGGAUUUUAGGAGGAAGGCCUCUGUCAACUUUCUGACUGUGAAUUCAAGUUUUUAAAUCCAUGAAUGAAAUAAUUUUGAUUUAUAUGCAAUUGGGAAUUUCUUUCUAGGUGCUUCAGUUUACCUGUUUCAGGUGCAGUGCAGCAGGGCCACAUUAAAGCCUGCAGGAAAUAAUUAUCUGGAGACCUGCAUGUGAACAGCUUGGAGAGUUGUGUGCUCCAAGUAAGCCAGAGAUGCUUGAUUUAAUUGUGGCAAAGUCAAUCUAAAUACACUAAUUUGAUUGUAGCCUAGUAACUCUUAAAGAGUUGUGCCUCACAAAUGAUUUUUUUAAAGUGCUGAAAUUCAGAGAAAGCUAAACCAGAAAUUAUUUGCAUACCUGCAUUCAAGUCUCUCUGUUAGAUUAUAUCAGGGUUAUAAUUUGAGUCCAUAAUUUUUGCAACAGAAGGUGUUAUUCGGGUAGUGUAUGUUGCACGUUGCCCUGGAGCAUGGCUGGUUUGAGUUAGAGAAAUAGCUCUGAAAUCUCACCCAUGCCAGCAAUUCCCACCCAAGUCCCCCACUGCAUAGGAAUGCUACUUUAGCUCUUGUAAACACAGAAUGAUAACUGUGGAGAGUUUAUCUCAGUUGGAUCAAAACAGUGCUUGCUCUUAGAUAAGGAUUGGUUUACAUGUGCUGCUGGCCUGGCGUGAGGACUCUCAGCAUUUACCCAUCCUCCUUGGUAGCUGCUGAGAGCCCUGUGUUCCUGCAGAGCAUUCCAUUCUUUACAGGUAUUCCGCACUACAGAUGUGGUCUGGUUCUGCAACUGAGCGCUCUGCUGCAGCGCUGGGCUUCUCGUGCCAGGUCCUGAAGCUUCUUCUCCAAAUCUGGAAGAGCAGAGACAUGCAAUGAUGCUUAUAUUUGUUAUGAAUGUCUCCGCUGGUCCUUGUGAAGCCAGACCAGUGUAAACAUACUGGUUAUAGGUCAAAACCACAAUACUCACAAUGACUGUUCCCAAUGCACUGGGCAUUUGUAGUGACUGAGGUGCUCUUAAUGCUCCUUAUGAAGGUCCAGGGCACAGCAGCUUCGAUCUCCAUGGCAGUGCCCAUGGGUGACGACACCAGAGUGCGGACUGGAAUGAUUGAGGUGUGUACUCAAGCCCUGCUGCCUUCUGUGGGACACAAAUGUUUCUCUGCGUGUUUGAACAAGCCAGUAUUCGUACCUGGCUUGUUCUGCCUUUAUUAAGAGAUAAUGUCUGAAGGGGAACAUGUAUGGACUGACGAAAAAGAGCUACCCUGCAGCUCUCUGUAACACAAGACAUCACUCGGGUAAUGCAAGAAAAGACAGAGUGCAAAGGUCCAAACACCUAAAGCAAGUGUAUAAAUCAAGGCUCCCAGCUAAAUCUGCAGCCAAGUUUUAUGCAGAUUUUGCACUUUUCCUGCUUUUAAACUGUCUGAAUAAAACCACUGCAAAUCUCUGUCUGGACACUUCUUAAACUCUACAUGUAGCAACCAAUUUAUGUCAGAAAAAGUACAUAAGCCAAAUCAAUUUAACUGCUUUUAAUCUGCUUGGGUAGCUUCAAGCAGAGAUUUUCAUCAGUUAAAUUGUUUUAAAUCUUAUUUCAGGUGAACCUAGUCUGCUAGAGUCUGUGAAGUAAACU
Long non-coding RNA from Cuculus canorus (common cuckoo), 3029 nucleotides. RefSeq lists it as uncharacterized. The transcript is spliced from 7 exons. Lineage: Eukaryota; Metazoa; Chordata; Aves; Cuculiformes; Cuculidae. The record is from RefSeq and is a predicted model, not a curated record.